AAACAAACAGUGCACGGGGUCGGAUGUUAAACACA
This 35-nucleotide unclassified non-coding RNA is filed under the name Leishmania tarentolae. Its description in RNAcentral is "guide RNA". The record is from RNAcentral. Lineage: Eukaryota; Euglenozoa; Kinetoplastea; Trypanosomatida; Trypanosomatidae.